GUAAAGAGCGUGUAGGCGGCUUGGUAAGUCGGAUGUGAAAGUCCCGGGCUUAACCCGGGAAGUGCAUUCGAAACUGCUUGGCUCGAGUAAGAGAGAGGAAAGUGGAAUUCCUGGUGUAGAGGUGAAAUUCGUAGAUAUCAGGAGGAACACCGGUGGCGAAGGCGACUUUCUGGCUCUAUACUGACGCUGAGACGCGAAAGCGUGGGUAGCAAACAGGAUUAGAUACCCUGGUAGUCCACGCUGUAAACGAUGUUCACUAGGUGUUGGGGGUAUUGACCCCCUCAGUGCCGCAGCUAACGCAUUAAGUGAACCGCCUGGGGAGUACGGUCGCAAGACUAAAACUCAAAGGAAUUGACGGGGGCCCGCACAAGCGGUGGAGCAUGUGGUUUAAUUCGAUGCAACGCGAAGAACCUUACCUGGACUUGACAUCCCAGGAAUCCCCUGGAAACAGGGGGAGUGCCCUUCGGGGAACCUGGUGACGGGUGCUGCACGGCUGUCGUCAGCUCGUGUCGUGAGAUGUUGGGUUAAGUCCCGC
Molecule: ribosomal RNA, 535 nt
Filed under: uncultured bacterium
Lineage: Bacteria
Description: bacterial SSU rRNA
Rfam family: Bacterial small subunit ribosomal RNA
Source: RNAcentral